Molecule: ribosomal RNA, 864 nt
Filed under: Macgarvieomyces juncicola
Lineage: Eukaryota; Fungi; Ascomycota; Sordariomycetes; Magnaporthales; Pyriculariaceae
Description: LSU rRNA
Rfam family: Eukaryotic large subunit ribosomal RNA
Source: RNAcentral
CAGGGAUUGCCCCAGUAACGGCGAGUGAAGCGGCAACAGCUCAAAUUUGAAAUCUGGCCCCCAGGCCCGAGUUGUAAUUUGCAGAGGAUGCUUUUGGUGAGGUCCCUACCGAGUCCCCUGGAAUGGGGCGCCACAGAGGGUGAGAGCCCCGUAUGGUAGGACGCCGAACCUUUGUAAAGCUCCUUCGACGAGUCGAGUAGUUUGGGAAUGCUGCUCUAAACGGGAGGUAAAUUUCUUCUAAAGCUAAAUAUUGGCCAGAGACCGAUAGCGCACAAGUAGAGUGAUCGAAAGAUGAAAAGCACUUUGAAAAGAGGGUUAAAAAGUACGUGAAAUUGUUGAAAGGGAAGCGCUUGUGACCAGACUUGUGCCGGGCGGAUCAUCCAGCGUUCUCGCUGGUGCACUCCGUCCGGCUCAGGCCAGCAUCGGUUUUCGCCGGGGGACAAAGGCUUCGGGAACGUGGCUCCUCUCGAGGAGUGUUAUAGCCCGUUGCGUAAUACCCCGGCGGGGACCGACGACCGCGCUUCGGCAAGGAUGCUGGCGUAAUGGUCAUCAGCGACCCGUCUUGAAACACGGACCGAGGAGUCAAGCAUUAGUGCGAGUGUUUGGGUGUAAAACCCGCACGCGUAAUGAAAGUAAACGUAGGUGAGAGCUUCGGCGCAUCAUCGACCGAUCCUGAUGUUUUCGGAUGGAUUUGAGUAGGAGCAUUAACGCUUGGACCCGAAAGAUGGUGAACUAUACUUGAAUAGGGUGAAGCCAGAGGAAACUCUGGUGGAGGCUCGCAGCGGUUCUGACGUGCAAAUCGAUCGUCAAAUUUGAGUAUAGGGGCGAAAGACUAAUCGAACCAUCUAGUAGCUGGUUUCAGCC